UACAGAGGGGGCGAGCGUUGUUCGGAAUUACUGGGCGUAAAGGGCGCGUAGGCGGCCAACUAAGUCCGACGUGAAAUCCCCAGGCUUAACCUGGGAACUGCGUCGGAUACUGGAUGGCUUGAAUUCGGGAGAGGGAUGCAGAAUUCCAGGUGUAGCGGUGAAAUGCGUAGAUAUCUGGAGGAAUACCGGUGGCGAAGGCGGCAUCCUGGACCGACAUUGACGCUGAGGAGCGAAAGCUAGGGGAGCAAACGGG
Molecule: ribosomal RNA, 253 nt
Filed under: uncultured bacterium
Lineage: Bacteria
Description: partial 16S ribosomal RNA
Rfam family: Bacterial small subunit ribosomal RNA
Source: RNAcentral